UACGGAGGAUGCGAGCGUUAUCCGGAUUUAUUGGGUUUAAAGGGUGCGUAGGCGGUCCGUUAAGUCAGCGGUAAAAUUGCGGGGCUCAACCCCGUCGAGCCGUUGAAACUGUCAGACUUGAGUUGGCGAGAAGUACGCGGAAUGCGCGGUGUAGCGGUGGAAUGCAUAGAUAUCGCGCAGAACUCCGAUUGCGAAGGCAGCGUACCGGCGCCACACUGACGCUGAGGCACGAAAGCGUGGGGAUCGAACAGG
RNAcentral lists this ribosomal RNA (252 nucleotides) under uncultured bacterium. Its description in RNAcentral is "partial 16S ribosomal RNA". It matches the Rfam family "Bacterial small subunit ribosomal RNA", at positions 524 to 776 of the family's 1533-position model. The record is from RNAcentral.